RNAcentral lists this unclassified non-coding RNA (412 nucleotides) under Scolecobasidium tshawytschae. RNAcentral describes it as "Ochroconis tshawytschae partial internal transcribed spacer region". The stretch from base 1 to 46 matches the Rfam family "Eukaryotic small subunit ribosomal RNA", at positions 1786 to 1831 of the family's 1831-position model. Lineage: Eukaryota; Fungi; Ascomycota; Dothideomycetes; Venturiales; Sympoventuriaceae. The record is from RNAcentral.
AAGUCGUAACAAGGUUUCCGUAGGUGAACCUGCGGAAGGAUCAUUACUGAGUGGCUGGCGCCGCCUCUGCGUUGCGAGAGCGCGCGGGGGGGGAGAGCGGUUACCCGACCUUUUGUCAUUUGGGCUGGCGGCUGUUUUCCAGGCUGGGGGCUUCUGGGCUGGGGUUCCCGAGUGGGAGGACCAGACUGGGGGGUUCCAGGGUGGAGACAGGCGGCGGCAUGUUCAGGUUCGGCGGAGGAGGCAGGGGCUGGCCGAGGUUGACCGGAUGGAUGGAAAGAUCGAUCGGGUUGACUGCGGGAGAGGCGACCUGCCCGCCGCCGGUGGGAUUAGCAACUCUUUGUUAGCAAGGUGAAGUCUGAGGAAGCAAGAAAACGAAAAAGCAAAACUUUCAACAACGGAUCUCUUGGCUCUG